CCCUUAGAUGUCCGGGGCUGCACGCGCGCUACACUGAAGGAAUCAGCGUGCUAGAAAACCUUGUUUGACAUGGCUAGGUAACCCGUUGAAAAUCUUUCGUGAUUGGGAUCGGGACUUGCAAAUGUGUCCCUUGAACGAGGAAUUCCCAGUAAGUGCGGGUCAUAAGCUCGCGCUGAUUACGUCCCUGCCCUUUGUACACACCGCCCGUCGCUGCCCGGAACUGAGCCGUUUCGAGAAGACUGGGGACUGCGAACUUUGGGCUGGAAAACAGCUUUUUGUUUGUGGAACCCACUUUAAUCGCAGCGGCUUGAACCGGGCAAAAGUCGUAACA
Molecule: ribosomal RNA, 331 nt
Filed under: uncultured eukaryote
Lineage: Eukaryota
Description: partial 18S ribosomal RNA
Rfam family: Eukaryotic small subunit ribosomal RNA
Source: RNAcentral